CACUCCUGCGGGAGGCAGCAGUGGGGAAUAUUGCACAAUGGGCGCAAGCCUGAUGCAGCCAUGCCGCGUGUAUGAAGAAGGCCUUCGGGUUGUAAAGUACUUUCAGCGGGGAGGAAGGUGUUGAGGUUAAUAACCUCAGCAAUUGACGUUACCCGCAGAAGAAGCACCGGCUAACUCCGUGCCAGCAGCCGCGGUAAUACGGAGGGUGCAAGCGUUAAUCGGAAUUACUGGGCGUAAAGCGCACGCAGGCGGUCUGUCAAGUCGGAUGUGAAAUCCCCGGGCUCAACCUGGGAACUGCAUUCGAAACUGGCAGGCUAGAGUCUUGUAGAGGGGGGUAGAAUUCCAGGUGUAGCGGUGAAAUGCGUAGAGAUCUGGAGGAAUACCGGUGGCGAAGGCGGCCCCCUGGACAAAGACUGACGCUCAGGUGCGAAAGCGUGGGGAGCAAACAGGAGUAGAAACCCCAGUAGUCCCAUGA
Molecule: ribosomal RNA, 475 nt
Filed under: uncultured organism
Description: partial 16S ribosomal RNA
Rfam family: Bacterial small subunit ribosomal RNA
Source: RNAcentral